AUGCCAAUCGUGAUGCUAGCUGAGACGUUGCUUUGCCAACGCAUGGGCGUUGUUGAAGAGGGCGAGUUGAUCACAGAAGCAGCCAUAGACAAGUACGUGUCCCUCUUCCACGGCCAGCUGCCCGACCUGGCUGUUGCGGCGUUGAGAGCCCUGUUCAGGCUUGACUGUGAUCUUGCUACUGCUGUUGAAGAUGCCCUGAUGGACCAUGGUGGAGGAGCCGGGUUGGAGCUCCAAGGCCAAGGUGGAGAAGAUGUGACCGCUGCUUGA
RNAcentral lists this ribosomal RNA (267 nucleotides) under Triticum aestivum (bread wheat). Its description in RNAcentral is "partial small subunit ribosomal RNA". Lineage: Eukaryota; Viridiplantae; Streptophyta; Magnoliopsida; Poales; Poaceae. The record is from RNAcentral.